GACAGAGGGUGCGAACGUUGUUCGGAAUUACUGGGCGUAAAGCGCGUGUAGGUGGCAUCGCAAGUCGGAUGUGAAAGCCCGGGGCUCAACCCCGGAAGUGCAUUCGAUACUGCGAAGCUAGAGUCUCGGAGAGGAUGGUGGAACUCUCGGUGUAGAGGUGAAAUUCGUAGAUAUCGAGAAGAACACCGGCGGCGAAGGCGGCCAUCUGGACGAUGACUGACACUGAGACGCGAAAGCGUGGGGAGCAAAC
Molecule: ribosomal RNA, 250 nt
Filed under: uncultured bacterium
Lineage: Bacteria
Description: partial 16S ribosomal RNA
Rfam family: Bacterial small subunit ribosomal RNA
Source: RNAcentral